This is an RNA transcript of Physeter macrocephalus (sperm whale), 8483 nucleotides long. It is a transcript of the gene named doublecortin like kinase 2, with no coding region annotated. Lineage: Eukaryota; Metazoa; Chordata; Mammalia; Artiodactyla; Physeteridae. The record is from RefSeq and is a predicted model, not a curated record. The transcript is spliced from 17 exons.
UUUUAGGGGGGCGCGGGCCGGCCGGCGCCUCCGCGGCUCCACCUGCGAGGAGAGGGCGGGAUGCCAGAGCUGCGUGUCCCGGCGCCCUGAGGCUGCUCGCGGCUAGACGUCCCUGAGCCGGUGCUCGCCUUGACCCUGGACUACCUGGAGGCUUUGGCUGGGACGUGUUUCCUGGGGGCGCCCCUGGAGCAGCCGCGAUGGCCAGCACCAGGAGUAUCGAGCUGGAGCACUUUGAGGAACGGGACAAAAGGCCGCGGCCGGGGUCGCGGAGAGGGGCGCCCAGCUCCUCCGGGGGCAGCAGCAGCUCCGGCCCCAAGGGGAACGGGCUCAUCCCCAGCCCGGCGCACAGUGCCCACUGCAGCUUCUACCGUACGCGGACCCUGCAGGCCCUGAGCUCGGAGAAGAAAGCCAAGAAGGCGCGCUUCUACCGGAAUGGGGACCGCUACUUCAAGGGCCUGGUGUUUGCCAUCUCCGGCGACCGCUUCCGGUCCUUCGAUGCGCUGCUUAUGGAGCUCACCCGUUCCCUGUCGGACAACGUGAACCUGCCCCAGGGUGUCCGCACCAUCUACACCAUCGACGGCAGCCGGAAGGUCACCAGCCUGGACGAGCUGCUGGAAGGUGAGAGUUACGUGUGUGCGUCGAAUGAACCUUUUCGUAAAGUUGAUUACACCAAAAACAUUAAUCCAAACUGGUCUGUGAACAUCAAGGGAGGGACCACCCGAGCCUUGGCUGCUCCCUCCUCAGUGAAGAGUGAAGUGAAGGAAAGUAAAGAUUUCAUCAAACCCAAAUUAGUGACUGUGAUUCGAAGUGGAGUGAAGCCUAGAAAAGCUGUGCGGAUCCUUCUGAAUAAGAAGACUGCUCAUUCCUUCGAACAGGUCUUAACAGAUAUCACCGAAGCCAUUAAACUGGACUCAGGAGUGGUGAAGAGGCUCUGCACGCUGGACGGGAAGCAGGUUACUUGUCUGCAAGACUUUUUUGGUGAUGAUGAUGUUUUUAUUGCAUGUGGACCUGAAAAAUUCCGUUACGCCCAAGAUGACUUUGUCCUGGAUCACAGUGAAUGCCGCGUUUUGAAGUCAUCUUAUUCUCGCUCCUCAGCUGUUAAGUAUUCUGGAUCCAAGAGCCCUGGGCCUUCUCGACGCAGCAAAUCACCAGCUUCAGUAAAGAGGGGUGGCCACUACUCCAGGGCCUACUCUACAGCCAAAUCCCCAGUUAAUGGAACUCCCAGCAGCCAGCUUUCCACUCCUAAAUCUACAAAAUCCUCCAGUUCCUCUCCAACUAGCCCAGGAAGUUUCAGAGGAUUAAAGCAGAUGUCUGCACGUGGCCGAUCUUCUUCCAAUGUAAAUGGCGGGCCUGAACUUGAUCGUUGCCUGAGUCCUGAAGGUGUGAAUGGAAACAGGUGCUCUGAAUCCUCAACUCUUCUUGAGAAGUACAAAAUUGGGAAGGUUAUUGGUGAUGGCAAUUUUGCAGUAGUCAAAGAGUGCAUGGACAGGUCCACAGGAAAGGAGUUUGCCCUAAAGAUUAUAGACAAAGCCAAAUGUUGUGGAAAGGAGCAUCUGAUUGAGAAUGAAGUGUCGAUACUGCGCAGAGUGAAACAUCCAAAUAUCAUCAUGCUGGUUGAGGAGAUGGAAACAGCUACUGAGCUUUUCCUGGUGAUGGAAUUGGUCAAAGGUGGAGAUCUCUUUGAUGCAAUUACUUCUUCAACCAAGUACACUGAGAGAGAUGGCAGUGCCAUGGUGUACAACCUGGCCAACGCCCUCAGGUACCUCCACGCCCUCAGCAUUGUGCACAGAGACAUCAAGCCAGAGAACCUCUUGGUGUGUGAAUAUCCUGAUGGGACCAAGUCUUUGAAACUGGGAGACUUCGGGCUGGCCACUGUGGUAGAAGGCCCUUUAUACACAGUCUGUGGCACACCGACUUACGUGGCCCCAGAAAUCAUUGCUGAAACCGGCUAUGGCCUGAAGGUGGACAUUUGGGCGGCUGGCGUGAUCACGUACAUACUGCUCUGUGGAUUCCCACCCUUCCGAAGUGAGAACAAUCUCCAGGAAGAUCUCUUCGACCAGAUCUUGGCUGGGAAGCUAGAGUUUCCGGCCCCCUACUGGGACAACAUCACGGACUCAGCCAAGGAAUUAAUCAGUCAAAUGCUUCAGGUAAACGUUGAAGCGCGGUGCACUGCGGGACAGAUCCUGAGUCACCCCUGGGUAUCAGACGAUGCCUCCCAGGAGAAUAAUAUGCAGGCUGAAGUAACAGGUAAACUCAAACAGCACUUUAAUAACGCGCUCCCCAAACAGAACAGCACCACCACCGGGGUCUCCGUUAUCAUGGUAAGUAGAACACGUGGUUCUGCCCUUGGGCAGCUGCAGCGUCUGGCUGACUGCUCGGCCGACAUCGAAUCUUAUCAAGUCAGCCGCCAGGCGCUUCCCUCACGCGGCCCUGGGCGCUGUCGUGUUCCUCUCCACUUCAGGAAUGGCUUGGCACGUGAAGGGCACCCUUUGGCCGGCUCCCAGGCCUUGGGUCCUGGGAUCAGAGGUUGCGCAGGUCCCAGCAAGGCCAAGCUGAUGGGCCCCUGGCAGGGGCGCCCCGGCCUCUUCUCCUGGGCUUGGUGGCCUCCAGGCAGCUGCUUCUGUCUCAUCUCUGCUUUCCCGUUCUAGAGAGCAGUUCCCAAGCCCAGGUGGGACUUACAGCAAAAGGAAGUGAUUCCCUGAAUGCUCAAGGCCUCAGACAUAGAUUAUUUGAGCUAUGAAUGAUUCUUUGGGACUUGGGAUAAGAAACAGCCAGAGUUAAGCAAAUUCCAUUUUAAAAAGUCAGUGUUUUGUGGUUUUUAAAAGUUCAGAAGAAUAAAAAAAAAUAUUAGUUUUUUCAGGGUUGGUAAAAUUUUAUGAGAAGUCAGUAACAGUGACCCCCAUAUUUUUUCAAAUCUUCCUUCCUCCAAAAUGUUUUUAAAAAGGCAGCUUACCUAAAUCCACAAACACGGCAAAUGGAAAGUGGCAUUAAAGUAAGUGAAGUAGCGUGAAAGUUAAGUUCAGCAAAUGGGAGAAGAAGGCAGAAAAAAUAAAACUGAGCCAGAAGUGUGGCGUGCACCCUCCCACCAGCUGUCCAGACCCAAGUCCUCGCCCAAGUGGGGCCGUGAAACUGGCCCCCGGCGUGUCCGCACCUGCUCCGGUGCCGUGUGUAGAGCACGGGUCCUCGGCGUGAUCUCCGUCCCGCCCACAGGAUCAGGGAGCCGCGGCCGGGAGUCAGGCUUUCUCAGGGGGCGGGGGCCUGAGCUGGGUCUCGGCCACCCCAGGACUGCAGGGAUCUGCGGAGCCGGACAGCUCCGUCACCCUGACCUCAGGACAGGCCCUCACCCUCUGGAAAGGCUCGGUGUCCUGCCCGACUGGGAGGAAAACAGUUGCUUAUUCUCAGGGCACACUGUAACCUCGGAGGCUUCCCUGCCAGGACGCGGGUCCAGACAGGGGCAGAAAGAAGGCCGCCCCCUCCUGAGUGCAGGAGGCGGGCUGCUCCUGGAGCCUCCACCCACCACCAUCCUGGCACCGCCGCGCCGUCCUCGUCCCACGGGGUGGGCGACUGCGCUCCCCCCUCCAGCCCCCAGGCCAGGCUUGCAGGCUGAUGUGCUGCCAGACUCGCGAGUGGGGGUGAUGAUGGACUCCGGGCCGAAAGAGCAGGAAGGCCUCUUGAGCUGUGGUUUUCCUGGCAUCUCGUCAGUGUUCUGCCGAGAGCCUGAGAAAGUCAGAGUUGUCACAGAGCAGCAGCUUAAACCCUUUGCAAAGAACCGUCUUGACUGAGCCCACAGCAUGAGAAAGUUCUCAGGCGGUUCACCCUUGAGAGCAAGGCUGCUGGCCGGGGUAAGGGGUCACCGCCCUGCCUCCGGCUGCGUUGUUAGGCAGCUUCUGGGGAAAUUUACAAAAAUUUUAAAACACUGAAAAUGGCACACGCAACAUGGAACAAAAGACUUGAGUCAGCAGCACAAUUUAACAACUACACGUUAAUUCAGCUUCAUAGUGUCCUAGAGGAAGAACCUUUAUAGGAGGCGCCCAGGGCUUACGGCAGCUCCCCCCUCAUUCCCUGGGUCACCCGUCAACUCACGGCCCAGAUGGGAAUGGAUGGCCCAAGGCCUGUGGCCCACCAAGGUUCUGGAAUGAUCAGCCCUUCUGCCUCUUGGCCCAGUAUAGGUUCUGUUCUGGAUAAGGACGUUUAGGCUCUCUCAGACAGAAACUACAUCUCACGGUUUACAAAUGGCAUUUUUCCAUUUGCUGAUGGAUUUCAACUGUUAAAUUUCAGACUCCUGAGCUUUAACGGGAUGUUUGUGGGAAUGAACAACACUUUAUUGUGAUUCCAGUGGUGACUGUGAAAGUUGUGUGUGUUCGGUGCCAUCUUGGGCGCGUUGGCAGGGCUCCAUCUAACCCCGCAUUCCGUACACAACUCCACAGCUCGUUAGCUCUGGGGAGGUCCUGACGACGUCAUCACGCUCGCUGCCUACGGGGGGAAUCAGUAGAGCCUGCCUCUGGGGGUACCAGGUUUCCAUGGCCAAAAAGCUGGCCUGUGAAUUCUGGCUUGUCCCCCAGAGCAGCGGUGAGCAGGCCUCCGCAGGGAUGUCGUACUCAUCCUUGCCCGACCGAGGACCUGUCGUGGUUGCGUCCAUGCAGCUUGCAAGGCUUCCAUGUCGUCUGCCUCGCCCUCUUCACCAGUACUGUGCGUCUCUGUGUCCUGCCCUUGGGAACAGUUUCAAAUGUUUUCUUAAAAAUCAUUAUUCACAAAUGACUCUCCCUAGUAUUUAUAUGUUCUCAUAACUGGGGUAUGUGAGGCUCAUGUGGUUUCCUACAGAUACAAAUAGCAGUGGAAACAGGGUGUAAAUGUUCCGAGGCGGAACCCUGAGGAACGGCUGUGUCGCUCCCAGACGGAACCUUGCUGUCUGCUGCCACCCCUAGUGUUCUCUCUGCCUCGGCCUCCCACGCCCCCCAAAGGAUUGGAGCCUGAGGCUCCGGUGAGAAAAUGAUAGGGUAGGAAUGGUAAAUAAUGGUGCAAGAAAGUCAAGUUGAUGCUGUUGUCUGCAUUUUGUUUGACAGUUUGAUUUGACAGUUUGAGAGACACUUCAGAGUUUCACUCUGUACCCCGUUGAGACUCUGGGGACCCCGGAGCAGAAUUCUGAACACGGCUCUAGAUAAGGAGGGCCAGAUCUUUGGCAGCAAGCUCGGCGCGGACGGCAGCCGGCCCGGCCUGGAGCCCGCUGCCCCGGAGCCCCCUGCGUCCCCGGAGUCGCCCCCGCGCUCUCCUGCCGCCGCCGCCGCCGCGGAGUGCGAGCGGGCGGGGACCUGGCGCCGCCACCGCGACUGACCGGCCGCCCCCGCCGCCCGCAUCGCUGCCCGCACGGCGCAUCGCAUCGCAUCGCCGGGGUGGAGAGCGCGCGCCUCCAGGGCCCCCGCUUCCCGCGUGCUCCGCCCGAGUCCUGGAGGGGCCUGUGCGCGUCGUCGCCUUCGGGGACGGGUCCUCGGAGCGGCUUCGUUUAAAUUCUCUGUCUUUUCAGUUCAGCGGACAUUUGACGGCGUCACCGGGAGAAUGUGCAACUUUUAUCUGACAUUGGGCGCAUUUUUAUAGAAACACUUUGGAUGCACCAAGAUCUCUCUCUUAUUUAAGUAAACUCAGGAGGGCUCCCUUUUUCUUACAGGCAACUCAGAACUGCGUCUGUCCCUUUGCGGGCGCCCUUCCUCUGCUGACGGGGGUCGGGGGCUGGCUUCCCACGCAAGGCUCGGGGCCCGAGCGGACCCCGUGGUCCCGGCACUCCGCCCAGCCUCGGGGGCUCGUCUAGGACGACACUGGCUCUGGACUUGUGCGCAGACCGCAGGGAAGGCCGUUUCUUCCCUCGAAGUUGUGUUUCCCUGACUCUUCCCACGACCGCCAUUAGAAAAUGCCGAGGAUCUUGUCCCUGGGGCUUUUUAACGAGAGGCGUGGUGCAUGCGGCGUCGUCGCCGGGGCGCUUCCUUCUCCAGGUCCGGCUGCGGGCAGAGCAGGACCAACCAGCGGCCCCAGGAGCCGCCGGAGCCUCCCUUCUCCAUCUGCAGCGGCGCAAACCGCCCGCAGGAAGCGCGGGGCGCGGUCGGGACCGGUCGGAAGGGGCCUGCAGGCAUCCUCUGUUACUAACCUUCUGGAAGGCUGCUGGCAGUGUUUCCUUUUUUCCACCACCCUGCGCUUUUUAAUGAUUGUAUAUAAUCACUGUAUUUGUUUUACCUGCUCAUCUUCUAAACGGGUGGGCCUGUAGUUCAUUCUCAUUGUUAGACUUUUGCCGCCUACAAGUGUCUCCAAUAAACUUUUCCUUCUUGAGAAAUAGCAGUCAGGGUGGGUAGAGGUUCCUGCGUGGUGGUUUUGCGGAGAGUGUGUGGUCAAAGCAACACCUCCCCGGCCCAGGUUCUGGCUGGUGCCAGUGUUUGUUUUUGUCUCGGGGUCACAACGGGGAGGAGAGGUGCUUGGGAAGAACACACGGAGGUGCACCUGGAUGGAAGUGUGUUUGAUUACAGGUGCAGAAACUCACACAACAAAAGCUCAAAAACGAAUAGAGAUUAUUAGUGUACAACAGAGGACUUUGAUGGAACCAGAGACAGGAAGGUCAGGCUUUAUAGGAAAUGGGGAGCCGGGGCAGAUGUUCUCAUCUGUCUGUGUCUGUCUCAGAGAUUGUGCUGUCUCCUGUCUCUGCUUCUUUCAUUGCGUUUUGGCUCUUGGUUUCUGUUGCCUCAUAACGUCUGCUUGCCUGGGCUCUGGCUUAGCCUGUAACUGCUUCUGUCCCCAGCUUCGCGAGGCUGUGCAACUCCACGGCUUGAGACCAUAGCUUUCAGCUCUGGUUCUCUUCGUUCACAUUGCUGUGUGAUGAUUUCUCUCUGGGCUGGUGCUGACCUGUGAUCCAAUCCAGAGGCAGGUGACAGAAUGCAGAUGGGCUUCCUGGGCGCACAGCUCCAGUGGGUGCAGGCUUCAGGAGAGGGUAGUGAUGGGCAGGUCCAGAACAUUCUGCCUGUCGCUCUUCUCACUGGUUAAAGAGCAAGCUUUUUCAUAGCUUCCAAUAGAAAAAUGUUUGUUAAUGGAAGCGAAGAGCUCAUGUAAAAGAAAGAGGAGAAAAAUGAGAAUAAUGAAAAUGGAAGAAUGAUGGAGCGAGGCCUUUAGUGUACUGAUCAGAGCCUGAAACUCGACCCCAUCUCUCAAACUGCAAGGUUCAAAGACAUUUGCUAAAGACUUAAGAAAAUAAAUGGCCAGGGCAGUGCCAGUCACUGGUGACGGGAGGAGGAGAACCUUCUGUCCCGCACAUGCUCCCACGUUCUAUGGCACCCUUGGAUGGCCUGGAGACAGGAGUGUAGCCUGAGCUGGGUGCGGCAACGUGGCCUAGCAGUGGCCAAGCAGUUCUUUAGUAAUUACUCCCACAAACACCUAGAGCGUUAAGUGGUGGUAAAGGAACAAGCCCAGAAGUUCGGUGACAUAACCCGGGUCAUAGAACUGUCAGGAGGCGGAGCCAUGAUGUGGUUUAAGAUUCCACAGACAUCAAACCUGUGCUCUUUUGAAGGCAGCCUGUCGUCCAGGGUAAAUCAAGGCCUGGACAUGAGUGGUCAUCUAGAUGACGAUCCUAAAUAAAGGCUCCGACACCACAAGCAAAUUGUUCAUUCACCCACACAUUUAGCAAAUAUUAUUGAGCUCUUAUUCUGGUCUCAGGAUCCAAAUUAAAUAGAGGUCCUUUAUUGCUGGGUUCCUCCGCUCCCGCACUGAGAGAGAGGCAUGUGCUUGGUUUAUGUUCAUCCCCUUAUUCCAGCAGGGGAGCCAUGUCUACAGAAGUUGACCUUUGAAUAGAGCAAGGGAAGCAGUGACCUGCCGAAGCCAUCGUGGGCCGUCUGCUGGGCCCAGCCAAGAGUCAGCGGGAGUCUGUCUCUCUUUCUUCAAAAAGGUUGCCGUGACGUGAAGGUACAUGGAAUAGACAGAUGGAAGCAUUUGGCAUAACUCCCCCAGAAUAUCUGCAUGAAUAAGAUUGUGAAACGUGAAUCAGGAGAUGGGGGACAGUUCAGAACAGAUAAACCAUAUUGAAAGAAGAGUGCUGGGUAGUGAUGCUGUCUUGGAGGAGGACUUUCAGGGCAGUUUGCCAUCCUGUGGAAAUACAAUGUAAGCCACAUAAUUGAACAUUUUCUGGUACCAUAUUAAAAAAAUCUAAAAAGGAACAGGUGAAAUUAUAGUAUAGUUUAUUUAACCCAAUAUAUCUAAAUACAUCCCUUUAAAGUAUUAUUUCAACAUGUGAUCAAUGUAAAAAAAAAAACAUCGGGAUACUUUACCUUACUUCUUUGUCCUAAGUCUUUGAAACCUGGUGUGCAUUGACUGACACGUACGGCACAUCUCAGGUUGAACCAGGCACAUUUCAAGCGUUUAACAGCCUUGUGUUGUCCCACCUGCCAGGCUGGACGGUGCAGCUAUAAAGAAGGCCCACAGCACUCAGUUUCCUUGUUUUGUUUAGUUUUGCAUAU